GCACCCGUAGCGCAGCUGGAUAGCGCGUCAGACUCCGACUCUGAAGGCCGCAGGUUCGAACCCUGUCGGGUGUACCA
Molecule: transfer RNA, 77 nt
Filed under: Bacillota bacterium
Lineage: Bacteria; Bacillati; Bacillota
Description: tRNA-Arg
Rfam family: tRNA
About the family: Transfer RNA (tRNA) molecules are approximately 80 nucleotides in length. Their secondary structure includes four short double-helical elements and three loops (D, anti-codon, and T loops). Further hydrogen bonds mediate the characteristic L-shaped molecular structure. tRNAs have two regions of fundamental functional importance: the anti-codon, which is responsible for specific mRNA codon recognition, and the 3' end, to which the tRNAs corresponding amino acid is attached (by aminoacyl-tRNA synthetases). tRNAs cope with the degeneracy of the genetic code in two manners: having more than one tRNA (with a specific anti-codon) for a particular amino acid; and 'wobble' base-pairing, i.e. permitting non-standard base-pairing at the 3rd anti-codon position.
Source: RNAcentral